This 553-nucleotide ribosomal RNA is filed under the name uncultured bacterium. RNAcentral's name for it is "partial 16S ribosomal RNA". It matches the Rfam family "Bacterial small subunit ribosomal RNA", at positions 355 to 900 of the family's 1533-position model. The record is from RNAcentral.
UAGGGAAUCUUCCACAAUGGACGCAAGUCUGAUGGAGCAACGCCGCGUGAGUGAAGAAGGUUUUCGGACCGUAAAGCUCUGUUGUUGGUGAAGAAGGAUAGAGGUAGUAACUGGCCUUUAUUUGACGGUAAUCAACCAGAAAGUCACGGCUAACUACGUGCCAGCAGCCGCGGUAAUACGUAGGUGGCAAGCGUUGUCCGGAUUUAUUGGGCGUAAAGCGAGCGCAGGCGGAAGAAUAAGUCUGAUGUGAAAGCCCUCGGCUUAACCGAGGAAUUGCAUCGGAAACUGUUUUCUUGAGUGCAGAAGAGGAGAGUAGAACUCCAUGUGUAGCGGUGGAAUGCGUAGAUAUAUGGAAGAAUACCAGUGGCGAAGGCGGCUCUCUGGUCUGCAACUGACGCUGAGGCUCGAAAGCAUGGGUAGCGAACAGGAUUAGAUACCCUGGUAGUCCAUGCCGUAAACGAUGAGUGCUAAGUGUUGGGAGGCUUCCGCCUCUCAGUGCUGCAGCUAACGCAUUAAGCACUCCGCCUGGAGAGUACGACCGCAAAGUUGAAAC